AGUGAACGCUGGCGGUAGGCCUAACACAUGCAAGUCGAACGGCAGCACAGGAGAGCUUGCUCUCUGGGUGGCGAGUGGCGGACGGGUGAGGAAUACAUCGGAAUCUACUCUGUCGUGGGGGAUAACGCAGGGAAACUUACGCUAAUACCGCAUACGACCUACGGGUGAAAGCAGGGGACCUUCGGGCCUUGCGCGAUUGAGUGAGCCGAUGUCGGAUUAGCUAGUUGGCGGGGUAAAGGCCCACCAAGGCGACGAUCCGUAGCUGGUCUGAGAGGAUGAUCAGCCACACUGGAACUGAGACACGGUCCAGACUCCUACGGGAGGCAGCAGUGGGGAAUAUUGGACAAUGGGCGCAAGCCUGAUCCAGCCAUACCGCGUGGGUGAAGAAGGCCUUCGGGUUGUAAAGCCCUUUUGUUGGGAAAGAAAUCCAGCUGGCUAAUACCCGGUUGGGAUGACGGUACCCAAAGAAUAAGCACCGGCUAACUUCGUGCCAGCAGCCGCCGUAA
This 506-nucleotide ribosomal RNA is filed under the name uncultured bacterium. RNAcentral's name for it is "partial 16S ribosomal RNA". It matches the Rfam family "Bacterial small subunit ribosomal RNA", at positions 29 to 523 of the family's 1533-position model. The record is from RNAcentral.